GACGAACGCUGGCGGCGUGCCUAAUACAUGCAAGUCGAACGAACUCUGGUAUUGAUUGGUGCUUGCAUCAUGAUUUACAUUUGAGUGAGUGGCGAACUGGUGAGUAACACGUGGGAAACCUGCCCAGAAGNGGGGGAUAACACCUGGAAACAGAUGCUAAUACCGCAUAACAACUUNGACCGCAUGGUCCGAGNUUGAAAGAUGGCUUCGGCUAUCACUUUUGGAUGGUCCCGCGGCGUAUUAGCUAGAUGGUGNGGUAACGGCUCACCAUGGCAAUGAUACGUAGCCGACCUGAGAGGGUAAUCGGCCACAUUGGGACUGAGACACGGCCCAAACUCCUACGGGAGGCAGCAGUAGGGAAUCUUCCACAAUGGACGAAAGUCUGAUGGAGCAACGCCGCGUGAGUGAAGAAGGGUUUCGGCUCGUAAAACUCUGUUGUUAAAGAAGAACAUAUCUGAGAGUAACUGUUCAGGUAUUGACGGUAUUUAACCAGAAAGCCACGGCUAACUACGUGCCAGCAGCCGCGGUAAUACGUAGGUGGCAAGCGUUGUCCGGAUUUAUUGGGCGUAAAGCGAGCGCAGGCGGUUUUUUAAGUCUGAUGUGAAAGCCUUCGGCUCAACCGAAGAAGUGCAUCGGAAACUGGGAAACUUGAGUGCAGAAGAGGACAGUGGAACUCCAUGUGUAGCGGUGAAAUGCGUAGAUAUAUGGAAGAACACCAGUGGCGAAGGCGGCUGUCUGGUCUGUAACUGACGCUGAGGCUCGAAAGUAUGGGUAGCAAACAGGAUUAGAUACCCUGGUAGUCCAUACCGUAAACGAUGAAUGCUAAGUGUUGGAGGGUUUCCGCCCUUCAGUGCUGCAGCUAACGCAUUAAGCAUUCCGCCUGGGGAGUACGGCCGCAAGGCUGAAACUCAAAGGAAUUGACGGGGGCCCGCACAAGCGGUGGAGCAUGUGGUUUAAUUCGAAGCUACGCGAAGAACCUUACCAGGUCUUGACAUACUAUGCAAAUCUAAGAGAUUAGACGUUCCCUUCGGGGACAUGGAUACAGGUGGUGCAUGGUUGUCGUCAGCUCGUGUCGUGAGAUGUUGGGUUAAGUCCCGCAACGAGCGCAACCCUUAUUAUCAGUUGCCAGCAUUAAGUUGGGCACUCUGGUGAGACUGCCGGUGACAAACCGGAGGAAGGUGGGGAUGACGUCAAAUCAUCAUGCCCCUUAUGACCUGGGCUACACACGUGCUACAAUGGAUGGUACAACGAGUUGCGAACUCGCGAGAGUAAGCUAAUCUCUUAAAGCCAUUCUCAGUUCGGAUUGUAGGCUGCAACUCGCCUACAUGAAGUCGGAAUCGCUAGUAAUCGCGGAUCAGCAUGCCGCGGUGAAUACGUUCCCGGGCCUUGUACACACCGCCCGUCACACCAUGAGAGUUUGUAACACCCAAAGUCGGUGGGGUAACCUUUUAGGAACCAGCCGCCUAAGGUGGGACAGAUGAUUAGGGUGAAG
This 1492-nucleotide ribosomal RNA is filed under the name Lactiplantibacillus plantarum subsp. plantarum. RNAcentral's name for it is "Lactobacillus plantarum subsp. plantarum 16S ribosomal RNA". It matches the Rfam family "Bacterial small subunit ribosomal RNA". The record is from RNAcentral. Lineage: Bacteria; Bacillati; Bacillota; Bacilli; Lactobacillales; Lactobacillaceae.